GAGACUUUUUUCCAACUAUCCAUUCAGAUGGCCAAUGGAUACAUGAAAAAAUGCUCAGCAUCAGUAAUCAUUAGGGAAAUACAAAUCAAAACCACAUAUUACCUCACACCUGUCAGAGUAGCUAGAAUCAAGAAGACAAGACGGGUGCCUGUGUGGUUCAGUCAGUUGAGUGCCUGACUCUUGAUUUCAGCUCAGGUCAUGAUUUCAGGGUCCUGAGACUGAGCCCUGUGUCAGGCUCUACACAUGGAGUCUUCCUGAGAUCUGUCUUCCUCUGCCACUCCACCCACUCAGGUGCUCUCUCUCUCUGUCUGUCUCUCUCUCUAAUUAAAAAAAGGAAACAGAAUCUUAAAAAAAAAAAAAAAGAAAAAGAAAAAGACAAGAAAUAAUAAGUAUUGGCAAGGAUGUGGAGAUAAAGGAACCGCUGUGCACUGUUGUUGGUGGGAAGGUAAAUUGGUACAUUCACUGUGGAAAAUGGUAUGAAGGUGUCUCAUAAAAUUAAAACAGAAAUACCAUAUGAUCCAUUAAUUUCACUUUUAGAUAUUUACCCAAAGAAAACAAAAACAUUAAUUUGAAAAGAUAUAUGCACCCUUGUGUUUAUUGAGCAUUAUUUACAACAAUUAAGAGAUGGAAACAACCCAAUGUUCAUCUGUAGAUGAAUGGAGAUAGAAGAUGUGGCAUAUACACACAAUAGGAUAUUACUCAGUCAUGAAAAAGAAUGAAAUCUUUCCUUUUGUGACAAUAUAGACGGAUCCAUAGGGUGUUAUACUUAGUGAUGUAAGUCAGACAGAGAAAGAUAAAUACCAUAUGAUUUCACUUAUAUGUAAAAUCUAAAAAACAAAACAAAUGAACAAAUAAACAAAUGAAUAGAAACAGACUUAUAUAGAGAGAAAAUAAACUGGUGGUUGCCAGAGGGGAGGGGAGUAGGAGGAUGGGAAAAAGAGGCGAAGGGGAUUGAGAGGUACAUACUUUCUGUUAUAAAAUAAAUAAAUUAUGGAGAUUAAAAACACAGCAUAGGAAUAUGGUCAAUAAUAUUGUAACAAUGUUGUAUGAUGACAGAUGGUGACUAUACUUGUGCUGAGUAUUGAGUAAUACGUAGAAUUAUCAAACUACUAUAUUGUUACCUGAAACUAAUGUAACAUUGUAUGUCAACUAAACUUCAAUAAUAAAUAUAUUUUAAAGGGAAAGAAAUUUAAAACAAACAAACAAACAAAAAAAGAACACUGGGCCAAUCCACCUACAUCAUAGGACAGAUGAGGUAACACAGGUCCCAGAAGUCAGAAGACUUAACCAGAAUUAACACAGCUUUGGCUACCAUUUUUGCUCAAAUGCAAAUGAGCCACUUUCAGUUACAGUAAAUACGCAAGAUACUCUAUAACUUUUAAGUCAAAUUCUCAGGAUAAUAAAAAAUUUGGAUGCAUAUCAGACAGAAUUAAUCAAUUUCAAAUAUGGUGCAUUUAUCCAAACUCUUUUCAGAACAAAUAUUCUGAAUAAUGUUCUGUAUAACAUUUCGCUAAGGCAUGAUUAUGGAUGCAGUACCAAUAUUGCAAAGUCUACAGAGGAGGUUCAGUAUUCAAGAUCUUAAGCCUCAAUGUUCUUUACACUUUGUUCUUUACAGGGUGGAUUUGGCAAAAUUAUAAUAUAAAGCAAUGUAUUCCACAAACACAGAUGAUUCAUAACCUAUUAAGUUAACAGUGCUAUAAGACAAAUAUUUAAUUUAAUGUCCAGCAUUUUAACUUUGCAUGGAGUUGUUUAAUGUGUUUACUUUUCUUUGGAAGGGCAAGAAAUUCACUUAAUAAUUGUGACUCAAGGUGAAAAUCUUGUGAGAAAAGGCGAUGCAUAUUUAAAAAGCUAUAUAAGCCAACACGAGAAAAGAUUUAUAAACAUGUACAUGCUUCCAUUGAAAUCACCAGAAUCUGUGACAUAUUCUAGGUGGCAGAAUUCUGUGACAUAUUCUAGCUGGUAAAUUAAAUAAUUUUUUUAUUAUUGCUUCUAGUUUUGAAAUUCUGUUAAAACUGAUUAAUUGAUACAUCUUCUAAGGAAAGUGAUUUGCUUCUUUAUAGAGAAUAACAUCCAAGUUAUAGAGUGAAGUAUUUUGUUCAGAGGUGGUUAACAUAUCAAAUUACAAGAGAUUCCCCAAAGAGUAUAACUCUCAAUUAUUUUUCCUAGGCUCAAGGACAUUUCAAAAGACUGCGAGGUCCCGAGUUAUUCCUCGGAUUUUUUCAGAGCUUAGACAAAUUUUGACUUCAGGACUAGUCACUAAAUUCAAUCUUUAAAGGCAAAGACACAUCAAAGGGCAGCUUGAGAACCUUGAGGAGAGGGGGAAUUAUACUCACAGGGCCUGAGAAAGUAUCCCUUAGUUACUCAGGUCUUUUCCCCAGACCAGCAACUGAAUCAUCUUCUAUUCUCACUUUGUACCUCCUACAGUCUUCAACUUUUGAGAUCGUCUCAGAAAAACUAAGAAAAAUCCCAAAUGACUCUAUCCUGAGGUGAUUCUUCACCAUCUGCUCAAAUAUCAGCCCUGAAAUUUAAAAAGAGAAGAGCGGUGCUGAGUUGUUCUUCCAUUUCUAAAAGGAUCAGCAUCUCUUUCUCCUUUUUUUCCCUCCCAACUUAAUACCUUGUCUUUUGCCUGUUCUGUGAAGGCUCAGCAUUUUGAGGUAGAUAAUAAAGCCAUGAUAAUUUAUGAAUAAAGAAAUGACUAUAUUGUGGUCUGUGUGCCAAUGAAAGAAAGGGAUUUCCAGAGAGAGAUGAGUCACAGAUCAGAGAAACUAAAUAAAAUAAAUUAACGUAUCUUAGAAUACAGGCCAAGAAAGAGAUAUAUGUCUUGGUAUGUCCCAUUCCCUCUCCUCUGCCUUUUUUUUUAAGUUAGGGAGACAUUAUUUUCAUAAUCCCAGUCAGCGAGCAGGAGUUUAUCAUCAGAUUUUUUUUUUACUAAGUUUUUGUAAUGGUUACGCUCAACUGAAAGUGACAAAACCUCUAGUCCAAGGAGUUUAACCAAAAAAAGAAAGAAAAAAAGAAAGAAAGAAAGUGACCAGGAGGUAACCUAUUGGUUUAAAUGACUGGGAACUCCAAAAGUAUGCAUAUGUUUAGGCACAGCAGGAUCAAGGCAUUUGAGCAAAGUUGUCAAAGCUCUUUGUCCUUUUUUUAUAUCUUAGCUUGACAUGUCUUUGCGUGUCUUCAACUGUUUUCUCAGUUUCCUCUUUUGCAGCCCACAUCCUAGAAAGAUGAUUAUUUUCAAACCGAAGCCUUUAUCCACAGAGACUGAAAUCUUAAAGGAAGAAAUACUCUCUCACUCAAGAAAAAUUGUGACUGGUUUUGCUCAUGGCUAUAUUAUUGCUACAGAGGGAAAACAGGCAUCAUUUGCAGG
This is a long non-coding RNA of Mustela lutreola (European mink), 3364 nucleotides long. RefSeq lists it as uncharacterized. NCBI's taxonomy places the organism in Eukaryota, Metazoa, Chordata, Mammalia, Carnivora, Mustelidae. The transcript is spliced from 2 exons. The record is from RefSeq and is a predicted model, not a curated record.